AUGGGUCAAACCCCAACCAGUAUACCAUAGCCAUCAUAGGACAGGCCCUAUGAUGGCAGAGGUAAACCCAAGCUAGUCAGAAUCAUACAAGAAUUUAACAUGGAACAAAGCCAUUUAACCAGCCAACAAACUGCUGGAGAACAACUAGUAAAAUAAAAAACAAAAAACCAACCCAUAAAGGGAUUAUGCAGAACAGCCCACACCUGCGCAGCACAAAACCACCCACCCCAAACCAGUUUCUGUUACAACAGUCCCAAGACAGGCACCACACGCAGCAUUGAUAGCAGCUCAAGACCACAAUAGUAGGCCAGCUGAGCAGCUACUCAGGACACAACAACAGAAGAAGCAGCCAACAUAAAGAUGCGGCUAAGCACCAAGCAGCUGCAAGAAACACAACAAUAGCAACGCAUUGAGGAUGGACUGCAGCUGCUCAAACCACAACAUCUGACAGCAGCCGAAAAUCCCCAGCAGCUAUAGCACCGCAGUCCCAGUUGAUCAAAACCGCAAGAUGGACUACAUUCGAGCUCAAAACAAUCCGCAGAACAUAGCAACCAACAGCAAACUAUAGAACAACAGAUGAUACCAGCACACUGCCAUCAACAAGAACUUGUUGCAUACAAACCUCAGGCCCUACAUAGCAGACUCAAAACAAAUCCGCCCAAGACCACAGACCUGCACUGCUCAGCUUCUUCCAAUAUGCAGAUUCCAGCCCAUCAAUACCAAAACCAGUAGUAGCAUCAAAAGCACCCAAAAUGGCCCAAACCGAGACCAUCCCUGCCCAUACGAAACACCCAGCGUUUCUGCACAAAGCCUACCACUGCUGCACUGCAACAAAGCAAGCCUCAACCUGCAGACCCAACCAGCAUAUACCAAACCUGCAACAGCAAAAACCUACAGUAACAAAAAACUGAAGCAAACAGAAAUCAUCUACAGACCCACUCGGAAGAUUUGCCUUAGCAGAAACUAGUUUGCCCGAAAACCUUUGACCCGAAAACAGGCCCAAACCAGUAGACUAGCCUUUGCAGCUGAUCCAAAUAGCACCCUAGAUGCCUAAUUGCACCCCAGAAGACAGAAACCAACUGCAGACCCAAGCCUCUAAACCGAAUCCCACAUACUCUAAUCCCCACAAGGAUGUUCCCCUCCCCAUCGUAUAAUCAGCACCAGCUUAUAAAAUAAGAUGGUUAUAACAUGAUCUGGACUUUAAUUUCUGAAACUGAGCAUUUGUGUGAAGGCCACACUUCAGUAAAUUAAUAAUAUCACCAAAAAUAGUCCUAGCAGGGGUGGAUUUUUUGAAGAAAAGCCGAGCAUUCCGUUCAUGCCAUAUCUGAUAGACCACAGUAGCAAACCCAAUAGACAACAGACUAUGAUGGAAAUUUUUGCAUGGGCAAUGCAUGAUAAAUCCAGUAAUAGAAGACAAAUUUCUACUUAACCCACGCCAACCACAAAGGCGGAGGACAGCACAAGGAUCUGAAAUGAGAAAGGACAUUCAAAGAAUAGGUGAUUGAAAGUUUCAUUUUCAUUUGAACAAAGCGCACAGAUGGGGUUUAUAACAAGCCAAAAUUUCAAGAGUC
This 1571-nucleotide long non-coding RNA is filed under the name Panax ginseng (ginseng). RNAcentral describes it as "long non-coding RNA (PGIN_LNC009734)". Lineage: Eukaryota; Viridiplantae; Streptophyta; Magnoliopsida; Apiales; Araliaceae. The record is from RNAcentral.